Molecule: ribosomal RNA, 468 nt
Filed under: Tricharina striispora
Lineage: Eukaryota; Fungi; Ascomycota; Pezizomycetes; Pezizales; Pyronemataceae
Description: eukaryotic LSU rRNA
Rfam family: 5.8S ribosomal RNA (bases 109-262)
Source: RNAcentral
CCGUGCUGCGUGGAUCUCGGUCCCCUCCCGUGCUGGAGUGUCGGCACGGCUAACAAAAUUCUUGCAUUUCAUGUCAUCCGUCUGAACUGUUAAAUACAAAAAAGUUAAAACUUUCAACAACGGAUCUCUUGGUUCUCGCAUCGAUGAAGAACGCAGCGAAAUGCGAUAAGUAGUGUGAAUUGCAGAAUUCAGUGAAUCAUCGAAUCUUUGAACGCACAUUGCGCCUCCUGGUAUUCCGGGAGGCAUGCCUGUUCGAGCGUCAUUAAAAUCAACUCAAGCUCUUUUGCUUGGUCAUGGAAGAUGAGUCUGCCUGGCAGUCUCCCCUCCGAAAUUCAAUGGCGGAAGGUCCCUGGUGCCCGGCGUAGUAUUAACGUUCGCUUUGUACCCAGAGUCGUUCCUGCUGUAUAAACCCCCAUUUCUUGUGAUUGACCUCGGAUCAGGUAGGGAUACCCGCUGAACUUAAGCAUA